This 253-nucleotide ribosomal RNA is filed under the name uncultured bacterium. RNAcentral describes it as "partial 16S ribosomal RNA". It matches the Rfam family "Bacterial small subunit ribosomal RNA", at positions 524 to 776 of the family's 1533-position model. The record is from RNAcentral.
UACGGAGGGUGCGAGCGUUGUCCGGAUUCAUUGGGCUUAAAGGGUACGUAGGCGGCGGCCUAAGUCAGCGGUGAAAGGCCCCGGCUCAACCGGGGGAGCGCCGUUGAUACUGGGUCGCUUGAGUGCCGCGUGGGUGGGCGGAAUUCCUCAUGUAGCGGUGAAAUGCAUAGAUAUGAGGAGGAACCCCGAUAGCGAAGGCAGCCCACUGCACGGUUACUGACGCUGAGGUACGAAAGCGUGGGGAUCGAACAGG